Molecule: long non-coding RNA, 751 nt
Organism: Papaver somniferum (opium poppy)
Lineage: Eukaryota; Viridiplantae; Streptophyta; Magnoliopsida; Ranunculales; Papaveraceae
Exons: 2
Source: RefSeq, a predicted model, not a curated record
UUCUCCCUCACCGUCUGCAGAGAAAACUUUGCCACCUCCAUCACCACUACGCCCUGCCACUGCCACUGCCACAACCGCCUUCACCAGCCACCACAACCUCCAUAACCACCCUAUUUCAUUCUACAACCAACACACUACAAAACCCAUCCUUCUAUUUCACAAAUUUCACCAACCCCACCCUCUGUUAGGGUUUUGACAUGGGAGAAUCAGAUUGAUAGGAAGAGAAAGAGAGCAGCAGUAGAAGCAUGGAAGGCAUGAAGAGAAGGAAGAGGAAGAGUAGCGACGUGGGUACAAGCUUAAGGUGCUGCUAUCCUGAGUGCUUGUGAAGUUGUUGAACAAGCCUGAGUGUUGCUGAGAAAGAAGCUUGUGGUGCUGCUGUGUUGCUGUUGCUGCCAAGCCAAGGCUGGAAAGGAGAAUGCAGAAACUUUGAGCUGAAGCUUGCCCAGCUACAGCUCACCCAUUUCAAAUUUUUAUUGGGUUUGUGGUAUUCCUCUCACACUUACCUCUCUGGGCUUUAUAAAAGCUUGUUUCUGAAAUUGUAUAAACCCAACUGAAAGUUACGCUUUAAACUGUGGUCCUAAACCCAUAGAAACUGAAAUCCGUUUUAAGCCCAACUGGUCUUCUGAACCCAGUUUGUGGGCUUGUUCAAAUUGUUUUGGGGCUUGAUUAAUUUAUUUUUGGGCUUGUUUGAGUUGAACUGUGGGCAUGUAACUAUAAUUUUGAAAACUAAAUUGUGGGCUUGUUCAUUGAA